ACACCCCUACACCCGGGAUCUUGUUAAUGGGCAGCUUUUCAUUCUGCAGGUCUAGGGUGAGCCUGAGAUUCUGCAUCUUUAACAAGCUCCCAGAUGAUGCUCCC
Molecule: microRNA precursor, 104 nt
Filed under: Marmota monax (woodchuck)
Lineage: Eukaryota; Metazoa; Chordata; Mammalia; Rodentia; Sciuridae
Source: RNAcentral